Molecule: ribosomal RNA, 497 nt
Filed under: uncultured bacterium
Lineage: Bacteria
Description: partial 16S ribosomal RNA
Rfam family: Bacterial small subunit ribosomal RNA
Source: RNAcentral
GAUGAACGCUGGCGGCGUGCCUAAUACAUGCAAGUCGAGCGAACAGAUGAGGAGCUUGCUCCUCUGACGUUAGCGGCGGACGGGUGAGUAACACGUGGAUAACCUACCUAUAAGACUGGGAUAACUUCGGGAAACCGGAGCUAAUACCGGAUAAUAUAUUGAACCGCAUGGUUCAAUAGUGAAAGACGGUUUUGAUGUCACUUAUAGAUGGAUCAGCGCCGCAUUAGCUAGUUGGUAAGGUAACGGCUUACCAAGGCAACGAUACAUAGCCGACCUGAGAGGGUGAUCCGACACACUAGAACUGAGACACUGUCCAGACUCCUACGGGAGACAGCAGUAGGGAAUCAUCCGCAAUGGGCGAAAACCUGACGGAGCAACGCCGCGUGAGAGAUGAAGGUCUUCGGAUCGUAAAACUCUGUUAUUAUGGAAGAAAAAAUGUAUAAUUAUCUAUGCACGUCUUGACGGUACCUAAUCAGAAAGCCACGGCUAACUACGUG